Molecule: transfer RNA, 77 nt
Filed under: Desulfitobacterium sp.
Lineage: Bacteria; Bacillati; Bacillota; Clostridia; Eubacteriales; Desulfitobacteriaceae
Also listed under: 2 other names
Description: tRNA-Pro
Rfam family: tRNA
About the family: Transfer RNA (tRNA) molecules are approximately 80 nucleotides in length. Their secondary structure includes four short double-helical elements and three loops (D, anti-codon, and T loops). Further hydrogen bonds mediate the characteristic L-shaped molecular structure. tRNAs have two regions of fundamental functional importance: the anti-codon, which is responsible for specific mRNA codon recognition, and the 3' end, to which the tRNAs corresponding amino acid is attached (by aminoacyl-tRNA synthetases). tRNAs cope with the degeneracy of the genetic code in two manners: having more than one tRNA (with a specific anti-codon) for a particular amino acid; and 'wobble' base-pairing, i.e. permitting non-standard base-pairing at the 3rd anti-codon position.
Source: RNAcentral
CGGGGCGUAGCGCAGUUUGGUAGCGUGCUUGGUUCGGGACCAAGAGGCCGCAGGUUCAAAUCCUGUCGCCCCGACCA